Molecule: ribosomal RNA, 446 nt
Filed under: uncultured bacterium
Lineage: Bacteria
Description: bacterial SSU rRNA
Rfam family: Bacterial small subunit ribosomal RNA
Source: RNAcentral
CCAGACUCCUACGGGAGGCAGCAGUGGGGGAUAUUGCACAAUGGGGGAAACCCUGAUGCAGCGACGCCGCGUGUGGGAAGACGGUCCUCUGGAUUGUAAACCACUGUCCCCAGGGACGAAGAUGACGGUACCUGGGGAGGAAGCUCCGGCUAACUACGUGCCAGCAGCCGCGGUAAUACGUAGGGAGCAAGCGUUGUCCGGAAUUACUGGGUGUAAAGGGAGCGUAGGCGGGAUGGCAAGUUGGGUGUUAAAUCUACCGGCUCAACUGGUAGUCGCACUCAAAACUGCUAUUCUUGAGUGAAGUAGAGGCAGGCGGAAUUCCUAGUGUAGCGGUGAAAUGCGUAGAUAUAUGGAAGAACACCAGUGGCGAAAGCGGCUCUCUGGUCUGUAACUGACGCUGAGGUUCGAAAGCGUGGGUAGCAAACAGGAUUAGAUACCCGUGUACC